Molecule: ribosomal RNA, 253 nt
Filed under: uncultured bacterium
Lineage: Bacteria
Description: partial 16S ribosomal RNA
Rfam family: Bacterial small subunit ribosomal RNA
Source: RNAcentral
UACGGAGGAUCCAAGCGUUAUCCGGAUUUACUGGGCGUAAAGCGUGCGCAGGCGGCCAUGCAAGACAGAUGUGAAAUCCCCGGGCUCAACCUGGGAACUGCAUUUGUGACUGCAUGGCUAGAGUGCGGCAGAGGGGGAUGGAAUUCCGCGUGUAGCAGUGAAAUGCGUAGAUAUGCGGAGGAACACCGAUGGCGAAGGCAAUCCCCUGGGCCUGCACUGACGCUCAUGCACGAAAGCGUGGGGAGCAAACAGG